UCACAGCAUGAAGAGAGGUAAUCCAGUAAGGGUUUACCCGCCAACCUGCCUUCUCGGGCAAGGUGGUUCGGAGCUGCAUCGGAGCCCACCUCCCUGCAGUCCCAUGCGGCCGAGAGCCUCUGAGAGAGGUUUCAGCAGUCGGUAAAGAGAGCGAGAUCU
This 159-nucleotide non-coding RNA is filed under the name Sutterella wadsworthensis. RNAcentral's name for it is "SAM-I-IV sequence". It matches the Rfam family "SAM-I/IV (S-adenosyl methionine) riboswitch aptamer". From Rfam's summary of the family: It is found upstream of a number of genes which code for proteins involved in methionine or cysteine biosynthesis. It has been found mostly in the order Actinomycetales. RNAcentral also lists the same sequence under 1 other name. Lineage: Bacteria; Pseudomonadati; Pseudomonadota; Betaproteobacteria; Burkholderiales; Sutterellaceae. The record is from RNAcentral.